UGUGGUGUAGCUCAGUGGUAGAGCACUUGCCUAGCAUGUGCAAGGUCCUGGGUUCCAUCCCCCAUACCAUAA
This 72-nucleotide transfer RNA is filed under the name Marmota marmota marmota (Alpine marmot). It matches the Rfam family "tRNA". Rfam says of the family: Transfer RNA (tRNA) molecules are approximately 80 nucleotides in length. Their secondary structure includes four short double-helical elements and three loops (D, anti-codon, and T loops). Lineage: Eukaryota; Metazoa; Chordata; Mammalia; Rodentia; Sciuridae. The record is from Rfam by way of RNAcentral. RNAcentral also lists the same sequence under 2 other names.